Molecule: long non-coding RNA, 223 nt
Filed under: Chinchilla lanigera (long-tailed chinchilla)
Lineage: Eukaryota; Metazoa; Chordata; Mammalia; Rodentia; Chinchillidae
Description: lncRNA (ENSCLAG00000025231.1)
Source: RNAcentral
AGAAGGCAAAAGUAGUGAUGACAACAGUCUGAAUGACAGAUAUUCAUCAUUAUGUACUUGGGCAUUUGUUUAGAUGAAAGGCAUAAAAGAGAAAGGCACAGAAGAAAAUGGGAAGAAGAAGAAACUUCAGAGCUAGAUGUUGCUAAAAGGUACAACAAGAAAAAGUGUACAGAUAACGUGUGCCAAUCUCCAUCAAUGUAGGGACCUGAAAAUACCAAGUCAG